UUGGCCCCUACUUAUUCCUGGUUGUUAGGAAAAUGAUUUGAAUUCGGGCUUCUUAUUUUGCAGGACUUCUGCUAUUAUGCUAACACAAUUUUCUUAAUCACGCUUCUGGUUUUUCCUACUAAGGAGAAGCUGUGCAUGGGACCUCUAGCAUGGGCAUUGAUUGUUUGGCGGUGUAGCUUAGGUGUUCAGUUCAGUUGAUAAAAUUGUCAGUGUCUUCGUACAUCUUUUACCUGGGUUAGUUAAUUUCUUUACAAUUCGCUGGAGGGAUGCUGAGUUUUUUGGAGCUAUGCAUCCUGAAGGGACUCCAGAACGAGCAUCAUGGUCUUAUGUAGAAAGCCAAUCCUGCCUUUGGACUUCUUGUGGAAACUAAUAAUGCAUCUGUAACAGUCCAGUCUGAAUAAUGGAACUAUCUGAUUUGGAGUGUUCAUCAUCCGACUUAGCUGGUGUUUUUAACUUUUCUAUCUGCUUUACGUAUGAAUGGAAGGUUUGAGUUCGUGACUCACACGUUGUAGAUUUGGUGAAAGGAAAAAUGAACUAUCUGUCAUUUUGUUGUUGUUCAUAUCUGAUUGAUUAUCUGCGCCCAUGAUUUUGUAGAUUUGGUGAAAAAAGAUUAUCCAUGUUCUCUUCUAUUGUGAGUUUGCAAUUGAUA
This is a long non-coding RNA of Capsicum annuum, 649 nucleotides long. RefSeq lists it as uncharacterized. Lineage: Eukaryota; Viridiplantae; Streptophyta; Magnoliopsida; Solanales; Solanaceae. The record is from RefSeq and is a predicted model, not a curated record. The transcript has 3 exons.